This 1290-nucleotide long non-coding RNA is filed under the name Lathyrus oleraceus (garden pea). RNAcentral's name for it is "Pisum sativum (pea) long non-coding RNA (PSAT_LNC020609)". The record is from RNAcentral. Lineage: Eukaryota; Viridiplantae; Streptophyta; Magnoliopsida; Fabales; Fabaceae.
GAGCAUUCAUUUGCUCACUUCGUUCUCUCUCCUCAAACGAAACCCAGAGUUUCUCUGCAACUCUCUUUUCUCUCUUUCGUCGUCUCAACGGCCAAACCUGUCGGAGAAGACGGUGGUGGUCGGCCAACCGUGGCGGCACCGCCUUCUUCUCCGGCGACCCCCACCCUAAAACCUGAAAGUCUAAACACAUACCCCACCUCUUUUUGGUCGGAGAUUUCAAAUCCGACCUUGUUUCUCCCAAAACCUCUCUCAAAUGGCCGGAUCGGCGCUCCAAAAGAGAGCACAAACCUAAAACCUAACCCUAACAUUCUCUCUCUCGCAGCCAACGAAACCUGGUUCGUUCUAUCAACGAAACAAACCUAAACACUAGCCAACAAACAGUUGAAAACCCUAACCCUAAUUCUGAAAUUAGGCCUUCUAUAGUUAUGAUUUAAGGAAAUCAACAAAGGGUUUUCAAUCAGUGUGGAAAGGCGAAGAUGAUGGUGCAAAAAAUUUAAGCGGGAAUGAAGAUUUUACUUGGUCGGAGUCAAUCGCCGGCGACGUCUCCCCACCGCGUUUGAGAUAAGUCCCUUCGUCCUUUUAACUCCUUCUUCUGCUUUUGUUCUUCUCUCCACACUCUUUUGUUUGGAUGUUGUUUGCUAUUGUUUUCUUUGAAUGUUUAUGUGUUUUGUGUUUAAAAAUUAUUUUGAUUGUUUCUUCUUUUUUAUUCAACCGUGCCUACUGUUAACCUGUUCUGGAUAUAUAUAUGAUGAAUUUUAGGUCUUGAGAUAACUUGUUAGGUUAUCUUUUCCAUUCAUAUUUUAUGGGAUUGUUACUUUGUGGUUUUAUUGUUGUUUGGAUUAGAUGUUCAUUAUGAUAUUCUGGGCAAAGCUCUAAUCUGUUCAAAUCAUCAUUUUAUUUUCCAAUUGUUUAUUAAGUGCUUAUUUGAAAGGACUUUUAACCUUCUGAGUUGAUUUUGCAGGUUUACAAAAGUGAAGUGACUUUGAAUUGAAAGGAAGUAUGCGCCUGUUUUGGAGGUUGGGUUUGGGGCGCUGUGAAUUUCAAAGGAGUUUUGGCAAAUGGCUUUUGAGAGCUUCGUCCUCAAACUGCUGGAUUUGCAGCUUAUUUCCACUUUUUUCAAAUUUAUUUUGAUGUACUUAGAACUUUUGGAUAAAGUGUACUUUUGGACUUGUUUGUGACAUUUUGGAUUAUGUGUUGACUUUUGGAUUAAUUAUGUAAGCUUUUGGAAUUAUUUGUAAUAUUUUGGAUUAAAAAUUCAAUUAUGCAAUUAAUCUUUUUUAAACAUUUUAA